AUUGAACUGAAGAGUUUGAUCCUGGCUCAGAUUGAACGCUGGCGGCAUGCCUUACACAUGCAAGUCGAACGGCAGCACGGGCUUCGGCCUGGUGGCGAGUGGCGAACGGGUGAGUAAUACAUCGGAACAUGUCCUGUAGUGGGGAUAG
This 148-nucleotide ribosomal RNA is filed under the name Burkholderia pseudomallei. Its description in RNAcentral is "partial 16S ribosomal RNA". It matches the Rfam family "Bacterial small subunit ribosomal RNA", at positions 1 to 146 of the family's 1533-position model. Lineage: Bacteria; Pseudomonadati; Pseudomonadota; Betaproteobacteria; Burkholderiales; Burkholderiaceae. The record is from RNAcentral.